UGAAAUCUCUUAAAAGACUUGUAUUUAAGAAUAGAUGGAGUAUAAUAGUUAGCUAUAAAAGAUUACUAUUUUUAUCUUAUAUGUCCCAUCUUUUAUUCUCACAAAGCACCUAGGAGCACGUGCUAAAGCUGGCUCUUCACGAAGAGCCCGCUUCCUUUCUCUUUCCUCUCCUCUCUCAUCCAACUUAGCAGAAAUAUAUUAUUUUAACCCUUGCAGCCUGCUGAUUGUACCUUAUUGUACUUGCUCUUAGCUCAUUGGGAUUAGAUAAUUAAAAAAGAAAGAGAUGGUGUGUUGCACCUUUUCAAUGCAUUUUUUACCCCACUUCAUAAUUUGUCCUAAAAUGUCUAUAUGUACUCUUUUCAUCGGACGGAUGGAGUAGCUAUUUUUUCUCUUUCUCUCUCUUAGAUACUCCUCCCGUCCGAAAUUACUUGUCGCAUAAAUGAAUGAAAAUAGAUGUAUCUAGAACUAAAAUACAUCUAGAUACAUUCAUUUAUAUGACAAGUAUUUCGAACGGAGAAAGUAUAUACCUACAAGCAUAGUAACGCCUCUCUCUCUAGUGCAACAUUUCGGAGCCCAUCUUAUUUGCACCCGGUCAUAAAAAAAUUAUAAUUCAUCAAAAAAUUUCUACUCCCUCUGUCUGGAAUUACUUAUGGCAUAAAUUGAUAAAGAUGAAUGUAUCUAGAACUAAAAUACAUCUAAAUGCAUCCAUCCCUAUGACACGUAUUUUCGGAUGAAAUGAGUAUUCUUUUUCAUGGUAGAAAAGUUCUCGCGUGAGGUGCGCUUUAAUGUUUAGGUCAUUGGGAUAUCUGAGCAGCUAUCAGCAAAGAAAAAAGACACAUUAAAUAAAAAUAAUGCAUGAAUAAUAAACCUUUAUACAGAUUUUUUUUUUUGUUGAGAUGUGAGAUGACGCCACGUCGUUCAUGUCGCCAUCCGCCGAUUCGCUCCUCGCUCAGUUAGUUGGUUCUCUCGGCUCUAUCACUCCUGUGUUCAGCUCCAAAACAGCCCGUAGCUUCUAAAACUUCGGCGGCUGGACUGGGCACACCAUCCCUAACCCAUCUGGACUGGGUCAGCUUCAGUCGUCUGCCGCAUCUCUUGUCGCCGCCGCCGCCGCCGCCACACUCGUCUCCGUCGUUCGCCACUGGCCAAUCGUCAGCUUUUGUUGUCAUCUCCUUCGUCCUCCUCCCGCCCCUUGUCCGGCACGGGAUAGCGGGAGUGCGGCCGCCGGCCAGACGCAUAAGAACUGGGAACCACUUCAGAAUUGAAGAAAAGGAGACUGAGCAAACCAUUGGAGAAGAUGGAAUCUGAGAUCACUUGUGAUAUUUAGAAGAGGCCAGAAGGAGCUAUGUUGAUCAAGUCAAAAAAUCUGAAACUAACUAAAGCUUUAGCUGUAAGACAUGAUCUGAACUUUGCAGCACAAGCACGUUUUCAGAAAAUGGAAACAACAUAAGGUUGCUUGUCGUUGAUCAACAACAUGAAGAGUGUAGAGCGGUGGUAUUAUAUGUAAAACACUGAAAUUUAUUGUGCAGCUUGCGUCAUGUAAAUAUGUCUUGUAAGGAAGCAGCUCAUGUUCGGUAAAAUCAGCCAAAUAUGAUGUGGUAUAAUGAGUACCAUGUGAUUGUGUGGACCAAUUUCUGUAAAUAACAUAAUUUCAAUGAAUGACAGCUAAUGAAA
Long non-coding RNA from Hordeum vulgare subsp. vulgare (domesticated barley), 1671 nucleotides. RefSeq lists it as uncharacterized. The record is from RefSeq and is a predicted model, not a curated record. NCBI's taxonomy places the organism in Eukaryota, Viridiplantae, Streptophyta, Magnoliopsida, Poales, Poaceae. The transcript is spliced from 2 exons.